Small nucleolar RNA from Silurus meridionalis, 77 nucleotides. RefSeq annotates it as small nucleolar RNA SNORD34. NCBI's taxonomy places the organism in Eukaryota, Metazoa, Chordata, Actinopteri, Siluriformes, Siluridae. The record is from RefSeq and is a predicted model, not a curated record. The transcript has a single exon.
GCAUGUCUGUGAUGCUAAUUUCUUUACCUACAUUGUUCGAGGUUCCUCUGAGAAUAUUCUAUAUAACUGAGACAUGU